RNAcentral lists this long non-coding RNA (2544 nucleotides) under Manihot esculenta (cassava). RNAcentral describes it as "long non-coding RNA (MESC_LNC007892)". Lineage: Eukaryota; Viridiplantae; Streptophyta; Magnoliopsida; Malpighiales; Euphorbiaceae. The record is from RNAcentral.
AUAAAUAUGUCUCGCACCAGUAAAAUUCUGAGCGUGAGGGGGUUGUGUUGAAUCCCACAUCAGUUGUGGAAAGGGGUAAUGUGCCCCUUAUAUGGGCCAUAGGCACUCCUCCCCUUGAGCUAGCUUUUGGGGUGAGUUAGGCCUGGUCCAAAUUUAACAAAGGUUGAUAGAGUGUUCCCAGUGGAUGAGGCUCUUUGCUUUGCCAAGGUUGGGAGAGAAUUAUCUCUAUUGAAUGCAAACAUCUAUUAGGGUUUUAUCCCUAACAGGAGAUUGCACUCAGUAUAAGAAGAUUAGAGAAGAAAGAGAAGAAUUGAGAGAGAUUAGAGAUAGAAUUUAGGAAGAAGAGAGGAGAAAAUGAGAGAUUUAGGAGAGAGAAAGAGGAGAUAUUAUUUGGAUUCUUGAAUGCCUUUACUAGUGAGUCUCUUUACAAUUUAUAGUAGUACUCAUCUUAUUGUAACAGACUCUAACAACCUUGAGAUCCUUCCCUCCAAAACCAAUUGGCACAACUGAAACUCCCUCCAAAAGUAACUAAUAACGGCUUUAUCUUUAUUGUUAUAUCUCUUCCUAUAAUACGUGACAAUAACCUCUCCAUGGUCACUUUCUUGACCCCAAGAAGGUGCAAAUUUUGGAAAUUUCUUUAGAGAUGUAGGCUAUUGGGUGCAUGGUUUUAUAUCGCGGUCGCGAGUAAUGGAAACAGGUUUGUAACGGCUGAACGUAAUGGUAAUGGCUUGGUGCUAUGCAAAUUUUUCAAAAAAAUUUGUAAAGUUCAUAAAAUGAAAUAAUAUUGAUUAGAUUUAAUUUAGAACAAUGUAUACAAAUGCAUAAUAAAUGUAAAUACAUCAAAUAUAGAUUAUUUAACUAAAGUUAAAGAGCAUUUAGUUUAAAAUAAGAGAAACCAACAUAAUCUUUAUAGAUCGAGUAAACUAAUAGCUUAAAAUACAAUUUAAACUCAAAACUAACACUUUAAUCCACAAAAAAUUUAGGAAAAAAAUAGCUACUGUAUAAAAAAUUUAAUAACUUUUUAGAGGAAAUAAGCUUGGAAAUGCAUUAGUUUAUGAGGAUCAAACUUAUAUGAGAAUAUGUAGUGAAGAUUGAAAUUUGAAAGAGAAAUGGAAGGAAAAACUUAAAAAAAUAUUGCCUUUGAAGCUACUGAAAAGUGUGGAAACUGAUAAAAAUGAGAAUAGGGGUAGAAGAUGAGAGAUAUAAAAGAAUUUCAAUUAUUGGUAACGGCCGUACCAUUACUUUUCGGUGGGUAACGGCCGUUGCCGUUACCAUUACUUCAUGGUCGAUAACGGUCAUUGCCAUUACUAUUACGUAACGACUGUAACGGCCGUUAUGCCGCAGCUCAAGGGGCUGCUGUAUAACAGGGUAAUGGGUAACGACCCUCCCAAAACCCAUACUGUUAUGUAAUGUAAUGACUGUUUUUUAAAACCAUGAUUAGGUGUCCUUUUUGCUGCAGAACUGCCCCUAUUCCCCACCCACUAGCAUCUAUUUCUAUAGUGAAGGGAUGAGCAAAAAAUCUGGCAUGGCUAGGACAGGGUGCUGCCAUUACUCUCUUAGUUCACAGAAUGCCUCUUGAGCCUUGUCAUUCCACAAAAAAAAAAUCUUUCUUAAGCAGAUUAGUUAAAGGAUUGCUAAUAACCCCAUAAUUCCUCACAAAUUUCCUGUAGUAUCCCAUUAGCCCUAGGAAACUCCUUAUUUGCUUCAGAUGCCAAGUCACCAUUGCCUGGCCCUUUUUGGGGUUUGUUGCUCUCCUUUCCCUGAUAUGAGAUGACCCAAAUAUCUCUAGAGGACCUUUCGUUGGCUGCUUCGAGGUUACUUAGCUUAUCCUUAACCUUUGAUGUGUUCCUCUGGAAAUGUUCCCGAAGGAUUCUCACUUGUUCUUCCAUUUUUGCAACCUUCACCUUUUCUGGACUUACAAUCACUGAUCAAUGGAACUCACUAGACUAGUUUGCUUCUUGUUCCCACGCGAAACCUUGCUCUGAUACAAUUGUUAGGGUUUUAUCCCUAAUAGGAGAUUGCACUCUAUAGAAGAAGAUUAGAGAAGAAGAAAGAGAAGAAUUGAUUGAGAUUAGAGAUAGAAUUUAGGAAGAAGAGAGGAGAGAAUGAGAGAUUUAGGAGAGAGAAAGAGGAGAUAUUAUUUGGAUUCUUGAAUGCCUUUACUCGUGAGUCAUCUUAUUGUAACAGACUCUAUCAACCUUGAGAUCCUUCCCUCCAAAACCAGCUGGCAGAACUGAAACUCCCUAUACAACUAACUGAUAACAGCUUUAUCUUUAUUCUUAUAUCUCUUCCUAUAAUAUGUGACACCAUCCCUAUGCUUCUUUGCAGAUCGUCUAUGUCCACUGUUUGGAUCAUGGUUUUUCAGCCACAAUUGAAAAGUAGCAAUCCAACUGUUGUGGUGUUCCCCCAAGGCUUGCCCUCAUUGUGAUAAUUGAUCUGCUGUUAAAAUAAUGAUGAUAUUUCAUUGUUUUUAAUCAUUGAAUCCACAUGACAGUAUUUUUUGGUCUGAAUGAUGGUCUUGUCAUGCAAAAAACAAUUAUUUAU